GAAGGAUCAUUACCGAGUGCGGGUCCUUCGGGGCCCAACCUCCCACCCGUGUCUACCGUACCGUGUUGCUUCGGCGGGCCCGCCGCAAGGCCGCCGGGGGGGCGUCCCCCCGGCCCGUGCCCGCCGGAGACCCUGUGAACGCUGAUCUGUGAAGGCGUGUCGUCUGAGUCGCGUGAGAAAUCGUGAAAACUUUCAACAACGGAUCUCUUGGUUCCGGCACCGAUGAAGAACGCAGCGAAAUGCGAUAAGUAAUGUGAAUUGCAGAAUUCCGUGAAUCAUCGGAUCUUUGAACGCACAUUGCGCCCUCUGGUAUUCCGGGGGGCAUGCCUGUCCGAGCGUCAUUGCUGCCCUCAAGCACGGCUUGUGUGUUGGGCCGCCGUCCCCGCCCUCCGCGGGGGGACGGGCCCGAAAGGCAGCGGCGGCGCCGCGUCCGGUCCUCGAGCGUAUGGGGCUCUGUCACCCGCUCUGCAGGCCCGGCCGGCGCCCGCCGAGUCAACCACUUCUUUCCAGGUUGACCUCGGAUCAGGUAGGGAUACCCGCUGAACUUA
Molecule: ribosomal RNA, 548 nt
Filed under: Thermoascus crustaceus
Lineage: Eukaryota; Fungi; Ascomycota; Eurotiomycetes; Eurotiales; Thermoascaceae
Description: eukaryotic LSU rRNA
Rfam family: 5.8S ribosomal RNA (bases 188-341)
Source: RNAcentral